Molecule: long non-coding RNA, 728 nt
Organism: Caretta caretta (loggerhead turtle)
Lineage: Eukaryota; Metazoa; Chordata; Testudines; Cheloniidae
Source: RefSeq, a predicted model, not a curated record
AAUAGGAGUUACCUGAAUUAAUUCCUGUUUAAACAAGGUGAUUCUUUUGGAAUAAAACUCCAUUCUUGAUAUAAAAAUUUUCAGUGAUGGAGAAACCACCAGAGCCCUGGAUUUGUUAAUCAAAAUGGCAUGAGCUACCAAGUCAAAUGUCUGAGGACCGGAUUUUAACUAUAUUGAACUGUCCAACUCCAAUUGGGAGUACAGUAAAUGAACACUAACUGUAUUACAUUAACAUACUCUAUUUAUCAAUCAAACAUGUAAUCUCAUCAAAAAAGGAUACCAGGUUAAUUUAGUAUUUAUUGACCCCUUCUCCUUUUUUCUGCAUUAUCAUUCUACCCUUUCCAUAUAGUAAUGUACUUUUAAAAGUUCCUUCUUAUGCUCCUUUAUUCUGCAGACUAGAGAGUUUUCUUUGUGUCACUUUGCUUCCCUUAUCAAUUUUCUACAAUUCCCAAUUUCUAAUAUAUAUAUGCUUUUGUUUCCCAUUUAGCUGGUGGUUGUUGGUUAAUUUACUAUACAAUAUGUCCUUCCUUCUUCUUUGCAGAAUUGUGGCUUUUUUGGAAAUCUACUGAAAUGUUAUUGAACAGUUCUACACACGCAUUUGCAUUUGUCUGUUAUAAGUUCAUUCUCCCAGCAGAUUUGCCACAUAGUUGUUUGUAGCUUUGUGAAACUGAAGUGAGCUGUAGCUCACAAAAGCUUAUGCUCAAAUAAAUUUGGUAGUCUCUAAGGUG